This 290-nucleotide ribosomal RNA is filed under the name uncultured bacterium. Its description in RNAcentral is "partial 16S ribosomal RNA". It matches the Rfam family "Bacterial small subunit ribosomal RNA", at positions 28 to 317 of the family's 1533-position model. The record is from RNAcentral.
GACGAACGCUGGCGGCGUGCUUAACACAUGCAAGUCGAGCGGUAAGGCCCUUUCGGGGGUACGACGAGCGGCGAACGGGUGAGUAACACGUGGGUGACCUGCCCUCAGCUCUGGGAUAAGCCUGGGAAACCGGGUACUAAUACUGGAUAUGACUCCAUGACGCAUGUUGUGGGGUGGAAAGCCUUGUGCGGCUGAGGAUGGGCCCGCGGCCUAUCAGCUUGUUGGUGAGGUAACGGCUCACCAAGGCAACGACGGGUAGCUGGUCUGAGAGGACGAUCAGCCACACUGGC